Molecule: long non-coding RNA, 456 nt
Organism: Nicotiana attenuata
Lineage: Eukaryota; Viridiplantae; Streptophyta; Magnoliopsida; Solanales; Solanaceae
Exons: 3
Source: RefSeq, a predicted model, not a curated record
AGAGAAUUGCUUGUGGUGGCCGGCAUAGUGCAGUAAUCACAGAUGCUGGGGUGCUGCUUACAUUUGGCUGGGGAUUGUAUGGGCAGUGUGGACUAGGUAAUACAAACGACGUGCUGAGGCCAACUUGUGUCUCUUCUCUAUUGAACACUAGAAUAGAAGCCGUGGCAGGUGGACUAUGGCAUUCUGUGUGCUUAUGUGAUCAUGGCCGUGUGUAUACUUUUGGGGGAAAUCAGUUUGGCCAAUUGGGUCUAGGUACAGGCGCGGACCAUGCAGAGGUGCGUCCAAGAUUUAUCACUUGUUUUGUGUCUUUCUAAUAAACUCUUGUUUAUGGACUCAACAGUUUCAAUGUCCAAUAGUAAUAUCUAGUUGAGGCUGAAUUAUGAUGUCAUCUAAGAGUUUGGCUAGUCGUACCAUGAGAUGUGCCCAGAAGUAGGAUUUGUUGAAAUCACAGUCCAG